Molecule: long non-coding RNA, 603 nt
Organism: Prosopis cineraria
Lineage: Eukaryota; Viridiplantae; Streptophyta; Magnoliopsida; Fabales; Fabaceae
Exons: 3
Source: RefSeq, a predicted model, not a curated record
UCCAAGCUUCCUUGUCGUUUGUCUUUCGUCCAUCUCAAGUGCUGUGAGUUCGCCGGAAGUCUUUUGCUCUUCUCACGUUGGAGUCGUGCAGCGAACCUUCUCUCUUCUUCUUCUUCCUUUCAGUUCGUUAUACAGAGCUGUGACUCAUCUUGCUUCCUUGUUCGGUCUCAGUUGAGCAAGGUACAGAUUAUGGGAUUUUUUUUCUUUUUCUUUCUGUUGCUACUGUCAAGUUUCUCAGCUAUGUUUUUAAUUUGUUAUGCUUCCUUCUACUCGAUUCUGGCUGUUGCUCUGUUCUUGUAAAAUAUGUCCACGCGUUGCUAAUGGUUGGAAGGAAUCAGGUCGUCGGAAUUGGUAGUGCUGGUCAUGAGCUAAAAUUAACGCUGAUUCUGGUCUUUUUCUUUUCUUUUGAGCAGUGUUUUGUCUUCCUCUAUUCCUUGCAUCAGCUGGAGAAUUCCAUUUUCUCUCCCUGUUCUGCUGUAGGUUCUGUCUUCUUCGUUACCUUUGCUGUUAUUGUUGUUUCAGGACGCGUGGAGGAAGAGGAUCCCGAUAGAAAUUAAAUAAAUAAUAUUUUGGAGAUUUGAAAUCACAACAGAUUGGUUAGCU